RNAcentral lists this ribosomal RNA (515 nucleotides) under Isocheles pilosus. RNAcentral describes it as "partial large subunit ribosomal RNA". It matches the Rfam family "Archaeal large subunit ribosomal RNA", at positions 1929 to 2675 of the family's 2987-position model. The record is from RNAcentral. Lineage: Eukaryota; Metazoa; Arthropoda; Malacostraca; Decapoda; Diogenidae.
AUGAAGAUAGAUACAGUUUGACCUGCCCACUGAUUAAUUUAAGGGCCGCGGUAUUCCUAACCGUGCUAAGGUAGCAUAAUCAUUAGUCUCUUAAUUGGAGGCUUGUAUGAAAGGUUGGACGAGAAAUAUACUGUUUCAAAUAAAAAAUUUGAAUUUAACUUUUAAGUGAAAAGGCUUAAAUAAAUUAAAAAGACGAUAAGACCCUAUAAAUCUUAACGGUAAAGUUAAUGUUUUUUGAUUUAUUAGUAUAAAAAAAUACUUAAACUAUACGUUUGGUUGGGGCGACAUAAAUAUAAAAUAAUUAACUGUUUGAAUAUUUAAACAAUUAUUGUUGAAGUGAAAUGAUCCUGCUAUAGAGAUUAAAAGACCAAGUUACUUUAGGGAUAACAGCGUUAUUCUUUUUGAGAGUUCUUAUUAAAAAAAGAGUUUGCGACCUCGAUGUUGAAUUAAAAAUUCUUUAUGGUGCAGCAGCUAUAAAAGAAAGUCUGUUCGACUUUUAAAUUUUUACAUGAUUU